ACUUUGGGAGGCAGAGGUGGGUGGAUCACGAGGUCAGGAGUUCAAGACCAGCCUGGCCGAGAUGAUGAAACCCCAUGUCUACUAAAAAUACGAAAAUUAGCCGGGAGUAGUGGUGGUGCUCCUGUAAUCCCAGCUACUCGGGAGGCUGAGGCAGGAGAGUCACUUGAUCCCGGGGGGCAGAGGUCGUAGUGAGCCGAGAUCGUACCAUUGCACUCCAGCCUGGGCGGCAGAGUGAGACUCCGUCUCAAAAAAAAAAAGAAAAGCAGAUUGCCUAAGAGGAUGGACAGAUGGACACUGGGUGAGCAGAGUGGCCUGGCCGCUGGCACACCUCCCUGGGCAGGACCAGGCAGCCUCCAGAGGGGCUUCAGGAGUGACCGGGCCUGGCCUCCCCACCACAGGCUAGGGUGGACAUUUGGGGCCUUCUGGGGCCAAAGUGCAGACUGCUGGGGAUGCAGGUGGCUUGGAUGUUCUCUGACUUUGUUGCUGGGAGCUCCGCUAAAGAGUGUCUGCGCUGUGGCUUCUUUGCAGGAGAAGUUUUCAGGUUGCUGGAGGAAGAGGGCGUCUCCCUCCCCGACCUGGAACCAGCCCCUCUGGACAGCCUGUACGUAUGUCUGCCACCAAGAACUGUUAUUUUAGCUUCUAACGCUGCCUCUGAGGAUAGCAUCCCCCUGCUCUGGGCUUGCCUCCCCGCAGCCCAUCUUGGCGUCCACAGAAGUGGCUGAAUAGCCAGGCGCAGUAGCUCACGCCUGUCACCCCAGCACUUUGGGAGGCCAAGGUGGGCAGAUCACCUGAGGUCAGGAGUUCAAGACCAGCUCGGCCAACAUGGUGAAACCUCAUCUCUACUAAAAAUGCAAAAUUUAGCCAGGCAUGGUGGUAAUCCAUGCCAGGCCCUGUAAUCCCAGCUACUUGGGAGGUUGAGGCAUGAGAAUUGCUUGAACCCAGGAGGCGGAGCUUGCAGUGAGCCGAGAUCACGCCACUGCACUCCAGCCUGGGCGACAGAGCAAGACUCCGUCUCAAAAAAAAAAAAAAGAAGUGGCUGGGCUCCUGUGAUGGCUGGUGACACAGGAGCUGUUCCUCUGUGUCUGUGACUUGUCUCCCACUUGGAAAUGCAAACGCUCAUGUGUGAGGGACAGAGGCCCUGCUCGGGAGGUUGGCAGGCAGCAGCCCCAGCUGUGCUGAGGCCCCUCCCUCCUUGCCAGGUGCAGCGGUGCCUCUGCAGAGGAGCCCAGCAGCCAUCGGGGAGGGGGCUCGGGGGGCUACCUGGAGCACGUGUUCCGGCACGCGGCCCGAGAGCUCUUUGGAAUCCAUGUGGCUGAGGUUACCUACAAACCCCUGAGGUCAGUGGGAUGGGCCAGAUUUCUGGGCAGAGCGGCCACACAGCCCCCAGCCUUCCUCGGGCUGCUGCCUCCCCUGGGGUCCUCCCACAGAGGUGGGCUGGGUGGAGGGCGGGCUCAUGGUGUGAAGGCACCUAAGCACUCCAGGCCUCAGUCGGCCCAUUGUGGGGGAUGGUGACCCUGAGCCCGAGAGGCCAGCAUGGGCAAAGGUGAUGGGUGCCUGGCGCAGGCACGCGACCACAUCCCAGGAGGGAGGGCCAGGGCCUCACAGACAUCCCUGGGGAGGGAGGCCUGUUUCACAGACAGCCCGAGGCUGGAGGUGAGGUCCCCUGCUGGACUCGAGGAAGUGAGCCUUCCACCCUCUCUCUCCGUUCUUGUCCUUCCCUCUGCCCAGGAGAGUGGGAGAGAGCCCUGGGAGCUGCCCGGUCAUCCCCUGGAGCCCAGCAGGCCUCCCCUUCCAGGCAGGCAGGAGCCUGGUGGGUGUGCCAUGUAGACAAACCCCGCCUGUGCCCCCCAGGAACAAAGACUUCCAGGAGGUGACACUGGAGAAGGAGGGCCAGGUGCUGCUGCACUUCGCAAUGGCGUACGGCUUCCGCAACAUCCAGAACCUGGUGCAGAGGCUCAAACGAGGGCGCUGCCCCUACCACUAUGUGGAGGUCAUGGCCUGCCCCUCAGGCUGCCUGAACGGCGGGGGCCAGCUCCAGGCCCCAGACAGGCCCAGCAGAGAGCUCCUCCAGCACGUGGAGAGACUGUACGGCAUGGUCCGGGCUGAGGCGCCCGAGGACGCGCCUGGGGUUCGGGAGCUGUACACACACUGGCUGCAGGGCACGGACUCGGAGUGUGCAGGUCGCUUGCUGCAUACGCAGUACCACGCCGUGGAGAAGGCCAGCACUGGCCUGGGCAUCCGGUGGUAGGGGCUGCAGGACCAGGACUCCCAGGAGGCCGUGUCCAUGUGUGACAGCAGAACCACAUGCCCCAAGACCCCAGGGCUCCCCCCAAAAUUCUGAGUGAGCUGCAGGGUGUGCUGGGACCCGAGUAGGAGCUAGGACUGGCCAGGACCCGCAGCCGCCUCGUCACCUCCAGUUGGGUGCCUCUGGGUUCCCACUGGCUCUGCCCAGGUGGGGUGGGGUGGCCCAGGCAGCAGAAGGUUCCCUGAGGUCCCAGAGCCUGUUCCGUUGGCCCUGGGCCGAGGCCCACAGGUGCUGCCCUUGCUGUUGCUGGUCGGGCACCCAAGUGCGUGAGGGGCUUCAGCCUGUCCCGGGGUUGCCUGAGGCAGAGCAAGACGGGUUCUCACCCCUGACUUCUGGAGGCUUCCCUUGAAGCUCUGUGCAAAAGGUGGGAGACAGACCUGGACCUGCAGGGGUGGUCCCGCCACAACCCUGCGUGUGGACCCUGGCAGGAGGAGGUGCCAGGCCCCUGGAAAGCAGGGGUUACCGUUACGAGGCUGUGGUCCGGGGCAAGCCAAGUACAAAGCAGCAGCCAUCGCUGGCUGCAUCAUCCCCCAGCCAGGUCCCCACCAGGCCUGUCUCCCAGCGUUUGUCUAAUAAAUGCACCCCUCCU
RNAcentral lists this small RNA (2894 nucleotides) under Pan troglodytes (chimpanzee). RNAcentral's name for it is "retained intron". Lineage: Eukaryota; Metazoa; Chordata; Mammalia; Primates; Hominidae. The record is from RNAcentral.